GAUGAACGCUGGCGGCGUGCCUAAUACAUGCAAGUCGAGCGAACGGACGAGAAGCUUGCUUCUCUGAUGUUAGCGGCGGACGGGUGAGUAACACGUGGAUAACCUACCUAUAAGACUGGGAUAACUUCGGGAAACCGUAGCUAAUACCGGAUAAUAUUUUGAACCGCAUGGUUCAAAAGUGAAAGACGGUCUUGCUGUCACUUAUAGAUGGAUCCGCGCUGCAUUAGCUAGUUGGUAAGGUAACGGCUUACCAAGGCAACGAUGCAUAGCCGGCCUGAGAGGGUGAUCGGCCACACUGAAACUGAGACACGGUCCAGACUCCUACGGGAGGCAGCAGUAGGGAAUCUUCCGCAAUGGGCGAAAGCCUGACGGAGCAACGCCGCGGGAGUGAUGAAGGUCUUCGGAUCGUAAAACUCUGUUAUUAGGGAAGAACAUAUGUGUAAGUAACUGUGCACAUCUUGACGGUACCUAAUCAGAAAGCCACGGCUAACUACGU
RNAcentral lists this ribosomal RNA (496 nucleotides) under uncultured bacterium. Its description in RNAcentral is "partial 16S ribosomal RNA". It matches the Rfam family "Bacterial small subunit ribosomal RNA", at positions 28 to 506 of the family's 1533-position model. The record is from RNAcentral.